This is an RNA transcript of Nannospalax galili (Upper Galilee mountains blind mole rat), 773 nucleotides long. It is a transcript of the gene named ER lumen protein-retaining receptor 1 pseudogene, with no coding region annotated. The transcript has a single exon. The record is from RefSeq and is a predicted model, not a curated record. Lineage: Eukaryota; Metazoa; Chordata; Mammalia; Rodentia; Spalacidae.
AUGAACCUCUUCUGAUUCCUGGGAGACCUCUCCCACCUCCUAGCCAUCAUCUUGCUACUGCUCAAAAUCUGGAAGUCCCGAUCAUGUCUGGGGAUUUCAGGGAAGAGCCAGGUUCUGUUUGCCGUAGUGUUCACUGCCCACUGCUUGGACCUGUUCACCAACUACAUCUCACUCUACAUGUAACACCUGCAUGAAGGUAGUCUACAUAGCUUGUUCCUUUACCACUGUGUGGAUGAUCUACAGCAAGUUCAAAGCUACUUAUGAUGGUAACCAUGACACGUUCCGGGUGGAGUUCCUUGUUGUUCCCACAGCCAUUCUGGCAUUCCUGGUCAAUCAUGAUUUCACCCCUCUGGAGAUCCUCUGGACCUUCUCCAUCUACCUGGAGUCAGUGGCCAUCUUGCCACAGCUGUUUAUGGUGAGCAAGACAGGCAAGGCGGAGACCAUCACCAGCCACUACUUGUUUGCACUUGGUGUCUACCGUACACUCUCUCUCUUCGACUGGAUCUGGCACCACCACUUCGAAGGUUUCUUCGACUUCAUUGCCAUCGUGGCCGGCCUUGUCCAGACAGUUCUCUACUGCGAUUUCUUCUACCUCUAUAUCACCAAAGCCCUAAAGGGGAAGAAGCUAAGCUUGCCAGCAUAGCCCUGGCCUUAUCAGCCUUCUCUGAGGCAGGGCAGGAGGCAGAGGAGGGCUGCCCAAGACCAAGAGCCUUCCCAUCCAGGGAUGACUUUUUAAAGAGCCCACCCCUCCCCGCUCCCCACUCCCUCCUGUU